AUGCACGCUGGCGGCGUGCCUAAUACAUGCAAGUCGAGCGAACAGACGAGGAGCUUGCUCCUCUGACGUUAGCGGCGGACGGGUGAGUAACACGUGGAUAACCUACCUAUAAGACUGGGAUAACUUCGGGAAACCGGAGCUAAUACCGGAUAACAUGUUGAACCGCAUGGUUCAACAGUGAAAGACGGUUUUGCUGUCACUUAUAGAUGGAUCCGCGUCGCAUUAGCUAGUUGGUAAGGUAACGGCUUACCAAGGCAACGAUGCGUAGCCGACCUGAGAGGGUGAUCGGCCACACUGGAACUGAGACACGGUCCAGACUCCUACGGGAGGCAGCAGUAGGGAAUCUUCCGCAAUGGGCGAAAGCCUGACGGAGCAACGCCGCGUGAGUGAAGAAGGUCUUCGGAUCGUAAAACUCUGUUAUUAGGGAAGAACAAAUGUGUAAGUAACUAUGCACGUCUUGACGGUACCUAAUCAGAAAGCCACGGCUAACUACGUG
This 496-nucleotide ribosomal RNA is filed under the name uncultured bacterium. RNAcentral describes it as "partial 16S ribosomal RNA". It matches the Rfam family "Bacterial small subunit ribosomal RNA", at positions 29 to 507 of the family's 1533-position model. The record is from RNAcentral.